This 46-nucleotide non-coding RNA is filed under the name Trichobilharzia regenti. Lineage: Eukaryota; Metazoa; Platyhelminthes; Trematoda; Strigeidida; Schistosomatidae. The record is from RNAcentral.
GUACUGUUGAGGGGUCCUAAACUAGGACGAAACAGCUGUCCAGUAC